RNAcentral lists this ribosomal RNA (745 nucleotides) under uncultured bacterium. Its description in RNAcentral is "bacterial SSU rRNA". It matches the Rfam family "Bacterial small subunit ribosomal RNA", at positions 35 to 762 of the family's 1533-position model. The record is from RNAcentral.
GCUGGCGGCAUGCCUAAUACAUGCAAGUCGAGCGAACAGAUGAAGUGCUUGCACUUCUGACGUUAGCGGCGAACGGGUGAGUAACACGUAAGGAAUCUACCUAUAAGCGGGGGAUAACAUUCGGAAACGGGUGCUAAUACCGCAUAAUAUCUUCUUCCGCAUGGAAGAAGAUUGAAAGACGGCUCUGCUGUCACUUAUAGAUGACCUUGCGGUGCAUUAGUUAGUUGGUGGGGUAAUGGCCUACCAAGACGAUGAUGCAUAGCCGACCUGAGAGGGUGAUCGGCCACAUUGGGACUGAGACACGGUCCAGACUCCUACGGGAGGCAGCAGUAGGGAAUCUUCCGCAAUGGGCGAAAGCCUGACGGAGCAAUGCCGCGUGAGUGAAGAAGGCCUUCGGGUCGUAAAACUCUGUUAUAAGAGAAGAACAAAUUGUAGAGUAACUGCUGCAGUCUUGACGGUAUCUUAUCAGAAAGCCACGGCUAACUACGUGCCAGCAGCCGCGGUAAUACGUAGGUGGCAAGCGUUGUCCGGAUUUAUUGGGCGUAAAGGGAGCGCAGGUGGUUUCUUAAGUCUGAUGUGAAAGCCCACGGCUUAACCGUGGAGGGUCAUUGGAAACUGGGAAACUUGAGUACAGAAGAGGAAUGUGGAACUCCAUGUGUAGCGGUGGAAUGCGUAGAUAUAUGGAAGAACACCAGUGGCGAAGGCGACAUUCUGGUCUGUUACUGACACUGAGGCUCGAAAGCGU